This 464-nucleotide ribosomal RNA is filed under the name uncultured bacterium. Its description in RNAcentral is "bacterial SSU rRNA". It matches the Rfam family "Bacterial small subunit ribosomal RNA", at positions 330 to 792 of the family's 1533-position model. The record is from RNAcentral.
CCCAGACUCCUACGGGAGGCAGCAGUGAGGAAUAUUGGUCAAUGGGCGGGAGCCUGAACCAGCCAAGUCGCGUGAGGGAAGACGGUCCUAUGGAUUGUAAACCUCUUUUGUCGGGGAGCAAAAGACGCCACGCGUGGCGUUCCGAGAGUACCCGAAGAAAAAGCAUCGGCUAACUCCGUGCCAGCAGCCGCGGUAAUACGGAGGAUGCGAGCGUUAUCCGGAUUUAUUGGGUUUAAAGGGUGCGCAGGCGGAAGAUCAAGUCAGCGGUAAAACCGGGGGGCUCAACCUCGCUCCGCCGUUGAAACUGGCAGUCUCGAGUUGGAGAGAAGUAUGCGGAAUGCGCGGUGUAGCGGUGAAAUGCAUAGAUAUCGCGCAGAACUCCGAUUGCGAAGGCAGCAUGCCGGCUCCACACUGACGCUGAGGCACGAAAGCGUGGGUAUCGAACAGGAUUAGAUACCCGUGUA